RNAcentral lists this unclassified non-coding RNA (253 nucleotides) under Tepidisphaera sp. RNAcentral's name for it is "partial 16S ribosomal RNA". It matches the Rfam family "Bacterial small subunit ribosomal RNA", at positions 524 to 776 of the family's 1533-position model. The record is from RNAcentral. RNAcentral also lists the same sequence under 1 other name. Lineage: Bacteria; Pseudomonadati; Planctomycetota; Phycisphaerae; Tepidisphaerales; Tepidisphaeraceae.
UACAGAGGCCCCAAGCGUUAGGCGGAAUCACUGGGCUUAAAGCGUGUGUAGGCGGGUUGGUAAGUAUCUUGUGAAAUCCCACGGCUUAACCGUGGAAUUGCUUGGUAUACUGCCGAUCUUGAGUCAUCUAGGGGCAACCGGAACUGAUGGUGGAGCGGUGAAAUGCAUAGAUAUCAUCAGGAACGCCAAUGGUGCAGACAGGUUGCUGGGGAUGUACUGACGCUGAGGCACGAAAGCCAGGGGAGCAAACGGG